AUCAUUCACCAUCUGAUUGGCUGGUCAUGGAUGGACAUCUGCACUAGCUAAUAAGGCCCGGUGCUCUUGGAUCCCUAUAUAUGUAGUCAGUCCCCAUGACUGUUCCUUUCAGUUGACAUAAGAGUGGGAUUUAUGGUAGUGUGUUCAUGGAGUGCGCGUGUAAAAGGGACUUCACAACCAUUUCUUGCCCAGGGACCCCCUCCCAGGCAAACCAGUGACCCAUGGACUCCCAUCAUACUUUAACAAAAACAUCAUCAGCGAAUGCUGGGGAUCUGGGCCUGGUCGGGUGUCUGCAGUAUCUCCCCCCUGUCCGACUCAUCGAAGAAAAACUCUUAGUCUAAUCUGGAGGUUAUAUUAGCUGUGUCUGUGAACCCCUCCUGCAUCUGAACUUGCUACAUAGAGGGCACAGCAUGAUCAGAGGCAUGUUUUGAUGUGAGAGAGGAUGCCAACCCCCAGUCCAGUCAUCGCCACCUCACCCGCUCUUAAAAUAAUAGUGUCUCUAGUCAGCCCAAAGGUUAUGUCAUUGUGAUGAACUGAGAGAAUAUUAGGGUAGCACUGAGAUUCAUUAGUCAUAUGCUGCCUUCCCUGCUCCUCUUCUUACCUCUUUCCCUUUCUGUAUUUUACACCUCUCUCGCCACCUCUUUCUUCCUCUGUUUUUGUGCACAACAGAUGUGCAUUGAAGUAAAGAUUGAACUUGUAUUUAUAAUAUUACAAUUAUAAUAUUUAUAAUGCAUGUAUUUAUAACACUUGGAUAAUUAACUUCUUUCAAUUAAGCAUUUCACAUUCUCUACUGGGUGUAAUUAUUUCUCUUAUUCGAUGAAAUACUACACCUAUCCUGUGUUUAUCAGAUCAACGCAAAUGAAGGAAAUUAGAUAUUGAGAUGAACCGGUUUUAGAGUAUUUACAUGAUGCAUAGGAAGUGUAGUGUACUGUUUUUCAAUUUUAUUUCUGUAUAUAUGAAUUACAAAUCAACCUUUAACUAGUUAAAUCAUGUGUAACCAUUGAUGUCCCAGGACCAAGAUUGGUAAACACUGUUGAAGUGUAUAAUUGUAAUGCAUACAUGCAGACACAGCAUCAUUCAAAGACUGGAAUUUGAUACGCCUGUUAUUGGAUAUGACUGAAAUGAUCUCAAAGACAUUCAUACCUGAACUGCACCUUUAUUUGCCAUGGUAGAGUACAUGAUCAGUGAAUAUAUUAAAUGUACAGGCUACAAUGUGGGGAUCUCAUGUAUGGUAAUAACUACACGUAUAUACGACUUGCAUCCUUGGCACAAAGUUAUAUUACAUUCUAGUCGAUCCAUAGGCUUCAUCAAUGUCAUUCACUGUUUUGAAGUUGAUACAACUGGCUAUGAUAGUUGAGGUUCAUAGCUAGGUUCUGAACUACUAUGUAAACCAAACGUUUUAGGGUCCAUACACAGACCAGCUACAUAGCUAGCUACACAUCCAUAGGCAUUCAGGUAUUUUUAUCCUCCACUGCACAAUAAGCAAGAAAAUAGUUAGCUAGCUACGUUAUUUCAUCUAUCUGCAUUGCAUAUAUCAGCAAGGCAAGCUUACACAAUUGUACAUUCAAUUUGCAGUAAAUGCUUUAGCUAGCUAGAUUCUUUACAUCCACUGUUUCACAAGACGACAGCCUGGUUUGCUGGUUGUUUCAGGAGUCCCCAAAACAUUAAACUACCAGAAUGACAAGUUCAUACUCAUGUCGCAACCCACCACUGCGACCUGUACGCUCUCGUUGGCUGGCCCUAGCUUCAUACUCAUCGCCAAACCCACUGGCUCCAGGUCAUCUACAAGACCCUGCUAGGUAAAGUCCCCCCUUAUCUCCACUCACUGGUCACCAUAGCAGCACCCACCUGUA
This is a long non-coding RNA of Salmo salar (Atlantic salmon), 1853 nucleotides long. RefSeq lists it as uncharacterized. Lineage: Eukaryota; Metazoa; Chordata; Actinopteri; Salmoniformes; Salmonidae. The record is from RefSeq and is a predicted model, not a curated record.